RNAcentral lists this ribosomal RNA (845 nucleotides) under Apiospora rasikravindrae. RNAcentral's name for it is "eukaryotic LSU rRNA". It matches the Rfam family "Eukaryotic large subunit ribosomal RNA", at positions 61 to 932 of the family's 3401-position model. Lineage: Eukaryota; Fungi; Ascomycota; Sordariomycetes; Amphisphaeriales; Apiosporaceae. The record is from RNAcentral.
GAAACCAACAGGGAUUCCCCUAGUAACGGCGAGUGAAGCGGGAACAGCUCAAAUUUGAAAUCUGGCCCUUGGGUCCGAGUUGUAAUUUGCAGAGGAUGCUUUUGGUGCGGUGCCUUCCGAGUUCCCUGGAACGGGACGCCUUAGAGGGUGAGAGCCCCGUACGGUUGGCCACCAAGCCUGUGUAAAGCUCCUUCGACGAGUCGAGUAGUUUGGGAAUGCUGCUCAAAAUGGGAGGUAUAUUUCUUCUAAAGCUAAAUACUGGCCAGAGACCGAUAGCGCACAAGUAGAGUGAUCGAAAGAUGAAAAGCACUUUGAAAAGAGGGUUAAAUAGCACGUGAAAUUGUUGAAAGGGAAGGAUUUAUGACCAGACUUUUUCUAGGGGGAUCAUCCGGUGUUCUCACCGGUGCACUUCCCCUAGUUGAGGCCAGCAUCGGUUUCUGUCGGGGGAUAAAAGCUUCGGGAAUGUGGCUCCCUCCGGGGAGUGUUAUAGCCCGUUGCAUAAUACCCUGACGGGGACCGAGGUUCGCGCAUUGCAAGGAUGCUGGCGUAAUGGUUAUUAAUCACCCGUCUUGAAACACGGACCAAGGAGUCGAACAUUUGUGCGAGUGUUUGGGUGUUAAACCCUCACGCGUAAUGAAAGUGAACGGAGGUGAGAGCCCCUCGGGGUGCAUCAUCGACCGAUCCUGAUGUCUUCGGAUGGAUUUGAGUAAGAGCAUAACUGUUCGGACCCGAAAGAUGGUGAACUAUGCGUGGAUAGGGUGAAGCCAGAGGAAACUCUGGUGGAGGCUCGCAGCGGUUCUGACGUGCAAAUCGAUCGUCAAAUCUGCGCAUGGGGGCGAAAGACU